Molecule: ribosomal RNA, 274 nt
Filed under: uncultured bacterium
Lineage: Bacteria
Description: partial small subunit ribosomal RNA
Rfam family: Bacterial small subunit ribosomal RNA
Source: RNAcentral
AGAAUCAACGCUGGCGGCGUGCCUCAGACAUGCAAGUCGAACGCGAAAGUCCCCUUCGGGGGGCAAGUAGAGUGGCGCACGGGUGAGUAACACGUAGGUAAUCUACCUUUGGAUGGGGAAUAACAAUCGGAAACGAUUGCUAAUACCGCAUAAUGCAGCGGCACCUAAUGGUGACAGUUGUUAAAGCGUGGGAUCGAAAGACCUCGCGUCUAAAGAGGAGCCUGCGGCGGAUUAGCUAGUUGGUAAGGUAAUGGCUUACCAAGGCUACGAUCCA